Rosa chinensis is the source of this 1613-nucleotide long non-coding RNA. RefSeq lists it as uncharacterized. The record is from RefSeq and is a predicted model, not a curated record. The transcript is spliced from 3 exons. NCBI's taxonomy places the organism in Eukaryota, Viridiplantae, Streptophyta, Magnoliopsida, Rosales, Rosaceae.
CGCACACGCCCCCCCUCUCUCUCUCUCCCCAGCUCCCCCUUCUUCCUCUCACCUUCUCUCUGUCACGCCGGAAAGCUCGACUUCCGGCCGUCGACUUUUGGCACCGCCACCACCAAAAGAUAGCCUAGGCGAUGGAGAACAAAACCCAGCCACUCCACCCUCGAUUGAGAUCGCCGAACCACCGCACACGACCCCUAAAGCUACGCCGUCACUGUUCCUUAACCCUCUUCGAUCUCCUACCAUCUUUUCAACAUAUCGCCACCACCAACUUGCUCAAACUGAUCCAAGCUUCAAAACCCAGGACUUUGCUAGACCACAGAGGCCGGAAUACCAUCAGACGACCCCAUCGCUGGUGCUCUCAGCUCUGAGCUUUUCGUUCUUCAAUCUCUGGUAAAAAUCGAGCCACACCAGCACUAAGGAAAAUGUUUAAGCUUUCUUUGUUUUCUGUCCUGUCCAAGCAAAACGUUUUCAUUUUUCUCUGAAACAUUGAGCAAAUGUUUCAUUAAUUCUUCCCAGUAUCAAAUACAACCACAAAUUUGGACUAUUGGUUGUAGAAUCCAUUAAUUUGCCACUCCCAGAGCUUGGAUGUGGACAAAAAAGUCAUCAAGGCCCAGAUUUGGGACACUGCCGGCCAAGAAAAGGCUUAUUUGUCCUUACCGUGUAAACAACAUGUCGAAGACACCUCUGUUUCCAGUGAAGAAAGAAGUAACAGCUCCCUCAUUUAAGUUGAGAAUAUAACAUCUGCAUUUAGAAAUCUGAAGACUGUAGACAAGAAAAUGGAGAUUUUGCUACUUGGAAAAGAAGCAUUGUUUAUGGCAGCUACUAUCAUAUAAGCACAGUCAUCUUGUGCUCAAGUCUACAUGGUGCUUGGAUGAACUUGUGCAGAUUUUGGAAUGCAAGGAAAGACAUGGGCAGAUUGUUAUACCCAUUUUUUACAGAAUAUAUCCUUCACAUGUACGCCGCCAGAGGGAGAGUGAUGCAGCUGUAUUUGUUCAACAUGAAGAACGUUUCAAGGACAAGGUGCUCAAGUGGAGGGAUGCUUUGACAAAAGCAUCCAAACUAGCAGGGUUUGAUUCACUCAAUAUCAGGUAACCUUUUAACUUUCGAGCAGUAAUGCAAAUAUCUCAAUAAUCCGGAUAUGUCUUCAACUAUUAGUUAUUUGUUCUUGGUUAUUAUGCCAGCCUUGAAUCUGAAUUAGUGGAGUUAGUCGUUAAAGAUAUUGGUUUAUAUAAGACUAGCUCUAUUUACUUCAUAUCGCCGUCCUAUUCUAUUAGAUUCAAACCAGGUACUAAGGAUCUUAUAGUGGUAUGCUAGAAGAGAUUUUCCAUGUAGGGUGAAAAAAGUGCUUAUCUAACUUCCCAUCAUUCAUACAUACAAAAAGGAGAGGCAUCAAGGCAUAUGGGAGUGACAGCGAAAGUAAAGGUUGUUGUUGAGGCAGCUUCUGCUGGCAUCUUCAUUGUCAUCACAAAGUGUGUUCUUCAAGACCUGGUUGAUUUCAACAUUUUACUAAAUUUUGUUAGAAAACUAGUUCUGUUUAUGUAAUGACUUUGUUGGAUAUAUAUAUAUGGAUGAAUGUAUCGGAUUUUUACAUAAAUGAAUGUGUUUUGGAUGUG